GAGGAAAACUGAUUUGGUGGAAAGACAACAAAAACAAAACAUGGGAAAUAGUCUACAGGUGUAUCCAGCAGCUCCAGAGAGACAGAGACCAGCGAGAAGGGACCAUGAUGAUGGUGGCGGUUUUGUCAAAAAGAAAAGGGGGAUAUGCAGGGAAAAGGAAGAGAGAUCAGACUGUUACUGUGUCUAUGUAGAAAGGGAAGACAUAAGAGACUCCAUUUGGAAAAAGACCUGUACUUUAAACAACUGCUUUGCUGAGAUGUUCUUAAUCUGUAGCUUUGCCCCAGCCAGUUUGACCCAAGCACUUUGACCCAACCUGGAGCUCACAAAAACAUGUGUUGUAUGAAAUCAAGGUUUAAGGGAUGUAGGGCUGUGCAGGACUUGCCUUGUUAACAAAAUGUUUCCAAGCAGUAUACUUAGUAAGUCAUUGCCAUUCUCUAGUCUCAAUAAACCAGGGGCACAAUACACUGUGGAAAGCGGCAGGGAGCCCUGCCCUUGAAAGCGGCAUAUUAUCUAAGGUUUCUACCCAUGUGAUAGUCUGAAAAGUGGCCUCAUGGGAGGAGAAAGUCCUGACGGUCCCCCAGCCUGACACCUGUAAAAGGUCUGCGCUGAGGUGGAUUAGUCAAAGAGGAAAGCCUCUUGAAGUUGAGAGAGAGGAAGGCCACUGUCUCCUGCCUGUCCCUGGGAACUGAAUGUCUUGGUAUAAAACCCGAUUGUACAUUUGUUCAAUUCUGAGAUGGGAGAAGAACCGCCCUAUGGUGGGAGGCGAGACGUGUUUACAGCAAUGCUGCCUUGUUAUUCUUUACUCCACUGAGAUGUUUGGGUGGAGAGAAACAUAAAUCUGGCUUACGUGCACGUCCAGUGAUAGUACCUUCCCUUGAACUUCAUUAUGACAUAGAUUCUAUUGCUCACAUGUUUGUUGCUGACCUUCUCCUUAUUAUCACCCUG
RNAcentral lists this long non-coding RNA (945 nucleotides) under Pan troglodytes (chimpanzee). RNAcentral describes it as "long non-coding RNA NONPTRT012932". Lineage: Eukaryota; Metazoa; Chordata; Mammalia; Primates; Hominidae. The record is from RNAcentral.